GUACACUCCUACGGGAGGCAGCAGUGGGGAAUUUUGGACAAUGGGCGAAAGCCUGAUCCAGCAAUGCCGCGUGUGUGAAGAAGGCCUUCGGGUUGUAAAGCACUUUUGUCCGGAAAGAAAUCCUUGGCUCUAAUACAGUCGGGGGAUGACGGUACCGGAAGAAUAAGCACCGGCUAACUACGUGCCAGCAGCCGCGGUAAUACGUAGGGUGCGAGCGUUAAUCGGAAUUACUGGCGUAAAGCGUGCGCAGGCGGUUUGCUAAGACCGAUGUGAAAUCCCCGGGCUCAACCUGGGAACUGCAUUGGUGACUGGCAGGCUAGAGUAUGGCAGAGGGGGGUAGAAUUCCACGUGUAGCAGUGAAAUGCGUAGAGAUGUGGAGGAAUACCGAUGGCGAAGGCAGCCCCCUGGGCCAAUACUGACGCUCAUGCACGAAAGCGUGGGGAGCAAACAGGAUUAGAAACCCUAGUAGUCCCAUGA
RNAcentral lists this ribosomal RNA (477 nucleotides) under uncultured organism. RNAcentral's name for it is "partial 16S ribosomal RNA". It matches the Rfam family "Bacterial small subunit ribosomal RNA", at positions 331 to 800 of the family's 1533-position model. The record is from RNAcentral.